CCCUCUUCGGAGGGAGUGGCAGACGGGUGAGUAACGCGUGGGAAUCUACCUAGCUCUACGGAAUAACGCAGGGAAACUUGUGCUAAUACCGUAUACGCCCUUCGGGGGAAAGAUUUAUCGGAGUUGGAUGAGCCCGCGUUAGAUUAGCUAGUUGGUGGGGUAAUGGCCCACCAAGGCGACGAUCUAUAGCUGGUCUGAGAGGAUGAUCAGCCACACUGGGACUGAGACACGGCCCAG
This 237-nucleotide ribosomal RNA is filed under the name uncultured bacterium. RNAcentral's name for it is "partial 16S ribosomal RNA". It matches the Rfam family "Bacterial small subunit ribosomal RNA", at positions 69 to 334 of the family's 1533-position model. The record is from RNAcentral.